GCCCGCUCGCCGGCCGACAUGGCGGUCGGCCGGUUGCGGCGGUUACGAGCCCGGGGCUCCGUGCGCCUCUGGAAUGUCCGGUUACGUAUGAAUCGGCGCGUUCCGCGUAACCGUGGCCGCGCGUAAAAAUGAUCGCGCAGACAUCACCCUGCGAUUAUCUACUGGAGCAACGAUCCGAGUCUCGGAGAGAGAAGGCGCGAGGAGCGUGUGUGAAAAAAUACCGCCCUGUCGUCUUCGGUGGAAAUGCAACGGUAACAUAUACUUUAUUCGUUACUUUGUAUUAUAUACACACGACGCGUAAACAUCAACACUCAUGUCAGAGAAUAAUGUUGUAUCUCUUAUUAAAUAAAAAUAAACGUCCGGA
Molecule: long non-coding RNA, 364 nt
Organism: Vollenhovia emeryi
Lineage: Eukaryota; Metazoa; Arthropoda; Insecta; Hymenoptera; Formicidae
Exons: 2
Source: RefSeq, a predicted model, not a curated record